AAGCCAAUGAGGAAUUUAUUUAUAAAUAUAUUUGGAAUUACCGUCUGAACAUUUACAUUGAUGUUUGAUCGACUAUCUGAGGCUUCGC
This is a small nucleolar RNA of Nicotiana attenuata, 88 nucleotides long. The record is from Rfam. Lineage: Eukaryota; Viridiplantae; Streptophyta; Magnoliopsida; Solanales; Solanaceae.